CAGAAAGUGAGAUCUUAAUAAUGCAGAAUAAUAAAGCAUGGACAUGGCACAACCAGACAGUUUUUCCUACUAAUGAGCCGAUUUGUGGAUACGACGGUCAAAGUUGUCCGAAUAAUUCAGGAAAUUUCACCUUGAUCGUACUGUGCAUCGUAUUGAUCUGCAUAUUCGUCAUCGCGAUAGGUGCUGCAUGGUUUUACCGGCGAAAAGCCAAUCAUCUCGCAAUUGCCCAUAUGUUUCUAAAUUCAUCUUCCUUUACCUUUGAAUCACCUGACAACGGUAUCAAGAAAUGCCCCAGUGACGGGAAGCAAAUCGUCUCCUGCUUGCAUGCAACACUGCAACUGGAAAGUCAGCCAGUGUAUCUUGUGCGUCUGCCCGGCAGCGCU
Long non-coding RNA from Paramacrobiotus metropolitanus, 383 nucleotides. RefSeq lists it as uncharacterized. The transcript is spliced from 3 exons. Lineage: Eukaryota; Metazoa; Tardigrada; Eutardigrada; Parachela; Macrobiotidae. The record is from RefSeq and is a predicted model, not a curated record.